RNAcentral lists this transfer RNA (69 nucleotides) under Phrynoderma hexadactylum (Indian five-fingered frog). Its description in RNAcentral is "tRNA-Glu". It matches the Rfam family "tRNA". From Rfam's summary of the family: Transfer RNA (tRNA) molecules are approximately 80 nucleotides in length. Lineage: Eukaryota; Metazoa; Chordata; Amphibia; Anura; Dicroglossidae. The record is from RNAcentral.
AUUCCCGUAGUACAAGCAUUACAGAAGUUUUUCAGACUUCAGAUCCAAGUUAAAUUCUUGGCGGGAAUA